Molecule: transfer RNA, 68 nt
Filed under: Marmota monax (woodchuck)
Lineage: Eukaryota; Metazoa; Chordata; Mammalia; Rodentia; Sciuridae
Description: tRNA.Ala
Source: RNAcentral
GGAUUGUGGCUCAGUGGUAGACUGCUCACCUAGCCUGCAUGAGGUGCUGGGUUCGAUCCCCAUCACCA